Molecule: long non-coding RNA, 3098 nt
Organism: Physeter macrocephalus (sperm whale)
Lineage: Eukaryota; Metazoa; Chordata; Mammalia; Artiodactyla; Physeteridae
Exons: 7
Source: RefSeq, a predicted model, not a curated record
UUCCCUGGAAAAACCAAACGAGUCUGUUUUAAAAUAAUAAAUCCAAAUUAUUCUAAAAAUGUACAGCUUGCUGAGUUUUCACAAGUUAAAUACACCACGUAAUCGGCGCACACAGAUCAAGAAACAAAAACAUUAUCAGUCCCCCAGAAUCCCCUCCUGCAGCUUUCUAGUUACUACACACUCAAGAAUAACCACCAUUUGACUUCUAACACCAAAGAUCAGUGUUUCCUUUUCUUGCAUUUUAUGGAAGAUGGGAAAUGGAAUCAUACAUUUUAUGUUCUUUCAUGUCUGACUGCCUUUGCCCACCAUUGACUGUGAGAUUCAUCCCUGUUGUGUGGUAGGCAGAAUUCUAAGAUGGCCCCCAAGAUUCCUCAUCCUCUCUUGUACUCGCAGCCUCUCCCAGUUAUUCAACUGAACAUUAAUCUAGGUGCUGCUGUAGAGGCAUUUUGCAGAUGUAAUUAAGACCCAAAUCAGCUGGCUUUAAGGUAUGGAGAUUGUUCUCAGUGGGCCUGAUCACAUGAGCCCUGAAAAAGCAUGGAGCUUCUUCUGGUGAAAGGGAAAUGAAGUAUGAGAGGGAUUGACACAAGGGAAAUUCUUCAUUGUCGGGUUUGAAGAUCGAGGGGUCCACAUGGAUACAGACGGCCUCUAGGAGCUGACAUUGGCUCCUGGUGACAGGCAGCAAGGAAAUAGGGACCUCAGUCCUCCAGUCACAAAAAAGGGCCCGAAUUCUGCCAACAACCCAAAUGAACUUGGAAGAGGAUCCUGAGCUUCAGCACCUGACACCUUAACUUCAGCCUGUGAGGCCCUCAGCAGAAAACCCAGCUACACCAGGCCCAGAUUUAAGACGAGCACAGCUGUGAGCUGGUGCAGCCAUGAACGUUCCAGUGCACGUCUUUUGGUGAAUAUAUGCGAAGUCAAAGAAGUGUCUCACAUACACACAAUCGCAAGCAUCUGUGAUGGAGUCAGAGACUGAAGAUCUUGAAACAUGGAGCACCACCUCCCAGGUGUCAACUGAAAGAAAAAUGCACAACAUAAAGUUGUGAGUUAAGUUUUAUCCGGGAAACUUACUGAGGACUAUAGCUCAGACAGCGCUGAGGAACUACGCCCAAAAGGUUGGUGGAGAACAGUCUGAGGGAGAAAUUCCUGCAAAGACACGGAUGUGACAGCUUACCUUCCUGCUCCCUGCCAACACCAGACCCCUCCCCACUGCUGCAGCGCCCCACACCCCGUCGGCAGGCAGCCCCACCAUGGAUCUCUCAUUACCGUACCAACUUGAGAAGGCAUUCUCUGCCCCUUCCAGGGGAGCAGGCAAGGCGUAGAGGCACAGGCUCACUGCUUCAUGAAAGCUGGCACCGAAGUCAGUGCUUCACCAUCCAGCUCGUUUGCUAUUCAUGGAAAUCGGGCUCCCUCCGGUUCCUGGUACAAAAGCACUCUCUUCCCCCUCCCUUUUAAAGCCCUGCUCUUGGGAAAGGCUCUGAUAGCUUUCGUUCAGUGCUCCUGAUGGAAGGAAAUUUAAUGUGAAGUAUCAUCUGUGCCUGUAACAAAGGCCAGUCCCAGGAGAGCUGCACAGGGAGUACUGGAAAGAAACCUUCAGCUGAGCAGCACCUGACCACAUCCUCCUGUGUCUUCAAUGCGACCUAAUGGAGAGUGGCUUUCUGGAGGAACAUGGAUCUGAUGUUAUAAUCGGAAUUCGUGGAAACAGGACUCUCUAAAGGAAACUUCUUGUAAUGUUUUCUUGUCAAUACUUUCCUAUGAAAAACAACAGGAUUGAUGUAUUCUGCCUGAAGACCCUGAAAGCAGAGCCUCGUCCACAAGCAUAGUCACCAGUAGGAUGGCCUGGCCUUGCUAUGUGGACACUGUUGCUGUGACCAAGUAGUGCUGAGAAAAAAGAAAUGAGAGAGUAGGGACCUGUGCCCCUUCAACAUCCCAGAAAUGCCAAUUCAGAACCAUGUAUAGCAUCACCCAUGGCUCUGUCUCCUGCCCAUCCCAUCAACCCCCAACACAAGUUACUGGUUUACUGGUGCUACACCCAUGACUACAGUCACCAAGCUCAUAGGAAAAGAGAGAAGCCAGGCAACAGGUCGGCCAACUUACAAGUGAGGAAGCAGAUUAUGUUUGUUUUCUGAACGCUCUGGUGUUUGGCUGCAAAGCCUGCCAGGCGGGAGAGAGUGGCUGACAGCGUCCUGGAGUGUGGGGAUGCUGUUGGAUGGUGGGAAAGAGCUAGGGAUGGGGAGUCAGAAGGUGACACGCUUUAGGUCGCAGCUCUGUGAGCUCAGGAGAGACAGCUACCUUCUCUAGCCCACUGGUAUCCUCAUAUGUAAACCGGAAGAUAUAAUACCUACCCCUCAAAGGAGGAGUCUGUGAAGAUUAAAUGUAAAGCUGUAAGAGCAUUUUGUAAACUAUAGAGCUGUACAACUCUAGACAGAAGUAUUUACUAUGGCUGGAGAGAGAGGGAGAGUUGAGUCUUAACGAAUUUGUAAAGGCGGUCAGGAAUCCCCGGUGGCUUUCCUCUCCCCCCGUCAGCUCUUGACCACUCACACCCAGGGUCCAGCCCGUCUGCCGGCCCAGCAUCCCCACUGGAGCCCAGACCACGAUCUGCCCCCUUCACUUUCCUCCCACCAAAGAUGACCUGUCUUGUGUCUCACUACACACCUGAAGCUGACCUAAGGAAGUAUGGAAUCAUGGAAAGAGCGUGAUCCUAAGCAUCAAAAACCUGAAUCCUAGGUCUGGCUCUGCCAUUAACUGGCCAUCUGAAUUCAGGCUUGAUUAACCUAUUGGCAACCUUGGACUUUGAGCCUAUAAGAGAAAAGAGAGCUCUGGUUUUUAAAACUUUUUCCAGCAUUAAAAUCCUGGCUUCAAAGCAAAAGGGUGCUCUUCAUCCAUCCCCUUGCGCCCCUUCUCAGCCCAAAUGUCAUUCCCUAGGCACCCUCAUAGAAAGGCAUGGGCUUACUGAAGCACAGUUUGAAAACACUGGGCUAAAUGAUCCCCCAAGGUCCCAUUCAUCUUUAAAAUUCUCUAACUCAGUCUCUACUUCUAAGAUAAAAGCUUUCAUGCUAAUGUAAGAAGUAAUAUAAUAUAAUAUAAUAUAAUAUAAUAUA